Astatotilapia calliptera (eastern happy) is the source of this 1953-nucleotide long non-coding RNA. The record is from Ensembl. NCBI's taxonomy places the organism in Eukaryota, Metazoa, Chordata, Actinopteri, Cichliformes, Cichlidae.
GUCCUGGAGCAGCAGCGGGCCAUUUCUGAUGUCAUCUCAGCAGACAAGAAAUCAAGACACUUGAUUCCUACUUGGCAGGAUCUUGAGGUACUGGAGUCUGUCAACCAGGCAUUACACCCCCUGCAAGACUUUACAGAUGCCCUGUCUGGUGAGAGCUACGUUAGUGUUUCAUAUGUAAAACCAGUCCUUCAUCUGAUGAAGACGUCGGUGCUUGCAGAGAAGGAAGAAGACAGUGAUUUGACAAAAUCAAUUAAGAAGAAAAUCCUCGAGUACCUGAUUACUAAAUAUGAAAAUCCAGCUACCCAGGAACUUAUGGACAUGGCGUGCUUCAUGGAUCCCAGAUUUAAAGUCAGCUACACCAGCACUGAUCAAGUCUCAGACAUCAAGACCAGAGUGAUGUCAGAAAUGGAAGCAGUGGCACAGAAGGAGAGAAGCUCCGCUGAACCAGAGGCCCAGACAGAUGAUCCACCCAGUCGUCCCCUGAAGAAGGCAAAAAAAGUCCCUGGGCAGUUUCUUCAAGGCAGCUCCAAUCCCUACCUCCUCUUUUAUGCAUCUCUCACAAGCUGUUGAAGCUGAGCUUAACAGCUACUUGCUAUCCACGGCCAUAGACAGUGAGGAAGACCCCUUGGCAUGGUGGAAACUCCACAAAAUGACAUUCCCACAGCUAAGCAAGCUUGCAAGGAAGUAUCUCUGCAUACCUGCAAGUAGCUCACCUUCAGAGAGACUUUUUAGUACAUCAGGAAACAUAGUAACAUGUCAGCGCACAUGUUUAAAACCUUGGAGAGUAAACAUGUUGGUUUUCCUUAACAAGAACUUGCCAUAAAAAACAUUCACUCAGGAAGGAUGAAUGCAAGAUAGAGAAACCUUUUUUUUUUUUCAAAAAAAUUACAAAAAUACACUACCUACAUUGUUCUUAAUUGUUGAUAAUAUUAGUCUUGGCCAGUACGACCACAAAGGUAGACAAUUGUUCUUUGGUGUGUUCCCACAGCAGACAAGUUCUUACCUAUAGUUUAAUCUAGUAAAGUUUCCACUCCAGUUUUGACUUGCAUCAUAACUACUUGGUGAGUGGUAAAAUGAUGAACAACUGCAUAGAGAUAAUUUGCAGUAUAAUUUAAGUUAUGUUUAUUUAAAACUAAUUAUAGAGACCGGGAAGGAUGUCUUUCAGAAUUCAAGCCUCAGAAAUUUUUUUAUGGGGGCAAUGUUUCAAUGUUUGACUGCACUUUGUUGUUACACUGCUAAUACAGCAGCUUUCAUUAAAUAAAACUGUGCAGUAAAACGGAAAUUAUGUAUUUGUUUUUUUUUUUUUUUUUUGCUAUUUAUUUUAUCGCAAGUCAUAUCGUUAUCGCAGUAUUGAUCACAGUUAUCGCACAUCGCAGGUUUUCCUAAUAUCGUGCAGCCCUAAUUCAUGCUAAAAACAGUUAAAAUGUGUGGGUUCGAAAUUUGCUCAGAGUGAGCCAUCGUUAUCACAAGCGAUCUUUGUAUUGUAUGUGCGGAAAUGGGAGCGAGGGAGCGCUCUGAUCAUUCGCCUAUCUUUGACGUAUUUUCUCCGUUAAUGCUGUGAAAAGUGCUUCGGCAGUAUUAAAAGAGUGAAUGAGUUCAUGUACACGCUAAGAGUGCCCUACACGCUUGUGCCUUGGGAAACGUUUGUCUUUUUACAAAUAAGAAAUAGCAAGGAGAACCCUUGAGAGAGAAAAGGCUUAAAAAGAUCUUCAUUAAAAGCAAGAAAAGCAAGGCUUGUGUGGAAGAUCUCGUCUAUUUUGUUCGCUAGCUGUCUAGCUUCACAUGGUCGUGUCGUGAGGGCAGCACAGUAAAAAGACACCUACUCAGCGGGUUCAAGCAUACAGAGCUACUUUAAGCAACAUGAGUCUACGCUCAGGAAGAAAUUACCUAAAAGACUACGCUGCUGAAGAGCUAGACGAAGCAGCCGGUGGUGAACAGCAACCAGACGUCGCC